Molecule: non-coding RNA, 138 nt
Organism: Pediculus humanus corporis (human body louse)
Lineage: Eukaryota; Metazoa; Arthropoda; Insecta; Psocodea; Pediculidae
Source: Rfam
CCUCUAUCUUGGCAUGCCUUUACAUAGUUGAUUGUAAAGCAUGAAUGCUUAAUAGAGGAAGAAUAAAAAAGUGAAGUAAGCCUUCGGUGCUCAAUUGCUCAUAUAUUUGGGUCCCAUCCUCUUUUGCUUCAAACAAGG